This 1530-nucleotide ribosomal RNA is filed under the name Shigella dysenteriae. RNAcentral describes it as "bacterial SSU rRNA". It matches the Rfam family "Bacterial small subunit ribosomal RNA". The record is from RNAcentral. Lineage: Bacteria; Pseudomonadati; Pseudomonadota; Gammaproteobacteria; Enterobacterales; Enterobacteriaceae.
AGAGUUUGAUCAUGGCUCAGAUUGAACGCUGGCGGCAGGCCUAACACAUGCAAGUCGAACGGUAACAGGAAGCAGCUUGCUGCUUCGCUGACGAGUGGCGGACGGGUGAGUAAUGUCUGGGAAACUGCCUGAUGGAGGGGGAUAACUACUGGAAACGGUAGCUAAUACCGCAUAAUGUCGCAAGACCAAAGAGGGGGACCUUCGGGCCUCUUGCCAUCGGAUGUGCCCAGAUGGGAUUAGCUUGUUGGUGGGGUAACGGCUCACCAAGGCGACGAUCCCUAGCUGGUCUGAGAGGAUGACCAGCCACACUGGAACUGAGACACGGUCCAGACUCCUACGGGAGGCAGCAGUGGGGAAUAUUGCACAAUGGGCGCAAGCCUGAUGCAGCCAUGCCGCGUGUAUGAAGAAGGCCUUCGGGUUGUAAAGUACUUUCAGCGGGGAGGAAGGGAGUAAAGUUAAUACCUUUGCUCAUUGACGUUAUCCGCAGAAGAAGCACCGGCUAACUCCGUGCCAGCAGCCGCGGUAAUACGGAGGGUGCAAGCGUUAAUCGGAAUUACUGGGCGUAAAGCGCACGCAGGCGGUUUGUUAAGUCAGAUGUGAAAUCCCCGGGCUCAACCUGGGAACUGCAUCUGAUACUGGCAAGCUUGAGUCUCGUAGAGGGGGGUAGAAUUCCAGGUGUAGCGGUGAAAUGCGUAGAGAUCUGGAGGAAUACCGGUGGCGAAGGCGGCCCCCUGGACGAAAACUGACGCUCAGGUGCGAAAGCGUGGGGAGCAAACAGGAUUAGAUACCCUGGUAGUCCACGCCGUAAACGAUGUCGACUUGGAGGUUGUGCCCUUGAGGCGUGGCUUCCGGAGCUAACGCGUUAAGUCGACCGCCUGGGGAGUACGGCCGCAAGGUUAAAACUCAAAUGAAUUGACGGGGGCCCGCACAAGCGGUGGAGCAUGUGGUUUAAUUCGAUGCAACGCGAAGAACCUUACCUGGUCUUGACAUCCACGGAAGUUUUCAGAGAUGAGAAUGUGCCUUCGGGAACCGUGAGACAGGUGCUGCAUGGCUGUCGUCAGCUCGUGUUGUGAAAUGUUGGGUUAAGUCCCGCAACGAGCGCAACCCUUAUCCUUUGUUGCCAGCGGUCCGGCCGGGAACUCAAAGGAGACUGCCAGUGAUAAACUGGAGGAAGGUGGGGAUGACGUCAAGUCAUCAUGGCCCUUACGACCAGGGCUACACACGUGCUACAAUGGCGCAUACAAAGAGAAGCGACCUCGCGAGAGCAAGCGGACCUCAUAAAGUGCGUCGUAGUCCGGAUUGGAGUCUGCAACUCGACUCCAUGAAGUCGGAAUCGCUAGUAAUCGUGGAUCAGAAUGCCACGGUGAAUACGUUCCCGGGCCUUGUACACACCGCCCGUCACACCAUGGGAGUGGGUUGCAAAAGAAGUAGGUAGCUUAACCUUUGGGAGGGCGCUUACCACUUUGUGAUUCAUGACUGGGGUGAAGUCGUAACAAGGUAACCGUAGGGGAACCUGCGGUUGGAUCACCU